GGAGUGGACCCUCAGGACAGGGGCCUUCAACGAAGGUGAAGGUGCUGGAGCCACAGCUGGAGGAGCUUGGGACCAGGGACAGUGUGGGAGGAGAGGAGUUGGCCAGGAGCACCGAGGCUGGGCUCUUGGGGGAGCGAGAGGUGACGUGUGUGUGUGUGUGUGUGUGUGUGUGUGUGUGUGUGUGUGUGUGUGUGUGUGAGAUUGUUCCUAUGCUCUGCUUAGGUCCCCUCAUUGCUUGCUUUGUUUCUCAAGUUACAUGACAGGAGGGACAGGGUGUUCUAGGUGUGUGUGUGUGUCCUGGCCUGCUUUUUCUACCUCAACAGGACAGGUUCUGGGAGCACAUGGACCUGCCUGCCUGUUCCCACCACCCCUCAGGGAGUGGAGCAGCUGGUGGUGGGUGCUGAGGGAACAUGAGCACGUCUCUCUCUCCCCCUCGGAGGUUGCACCCUGUGUGCUGGCCAGUGGGUGCAGAGAGGGGCCCAGAGCCCACUCCAGACUCUGGAGCAGGCCCAGGUGCAGGGCUGCCAAUCACCACGCUGCAGAUUCUGGCCCAGGUCCCUGAAUUUGACCUUUGGUUUUCUCUGCAAAUGACUUCAGCUCCUGCCGGGAACUCCCAGGGAGCGGGGACAUCUGGGUGGAGCGGGAGCCAUGCAGACAGGGCUGAGCAGUGGGAUUACCAGAGCCGGCCUCCGGGCUGCUGCCUAGUGGGGCACUGCAGAGGGCAGGGAGGCCAGGGGCCACUACGUUGCAUGGCCCUGAGGCAGCUCCUCUCCACCUGGGCCUCCGGUUCCCCAUCCAGAGUGAGGGAUGCCCCUUGAAGGGCCCACAGAGGCCUGGGCUCGGUCCUGGUCCUGGUGAUGAGGGUUUCUCCCCUGUGGCUCUUCAUUGCUGAGUUUGGUGUUAUUUCUUACAUACUGGCUUACCUUAUUAUUUUUUUUAAAAAAAGAUCAAUUCAAGUAUAAUUUGUUCAGU
Molecule: long non-coding RNA, 972 nt
Filed under: Marmota monax (woodchuck)
Lineage: Eukaryota; Metazoa; Chordata; Mammalia; Rodentia; Sciuridae
Source: RNAcentral